RNAcentral lists this ribosomal RNA (1028 nucleotides) under Tolypocladium endophyticum. RNAcentral's name for it is "SSU rRNA". It matches the Rfam family "Eukaryotic small subunit ribosomal RNA", at positions 69 to 1109 of the family's 1831-position model. The record is from RNAcentral. Lineage: Eukaryota; Fungi; Ascomycota; Sordariomycetes; Hypocreales; Ophiocordycipitaceae.
GCAAUUAUACAGCGAAACUGCGAAUGGCUCAUUAUAUAAGUUAUCGUUUAUUUGAUAGUACCUUACUACUUGGAUAACCGUGGUAAUUCUAGAGCUAAUACAUGCUAAAAAUCCCGACUUCGGAAGGGAUGUAUUUAUUAGAUUAAAAACCAAUGCCCUCUGGGCUCUCUGGUGAUUCAUGAUAACUUCUCGAAUCGCAUGGCCUUGCGCCGGCGAUGGUUCAUUCAAAUUUCUUCCCUAUCAACUUUCGAUGUUUGGGUAGUGGCCAAACAUGGUUGCAACGGGUAACGGAGGGUUAGGGCUCGACCCCGGAGAAGGAGCCUGAGAAACGGCUACUACAUCCAAGGAAGGCAGCAGGCGCGCAAAUUACCCAAUCCCGACACGGGGAGGUAGUGACAAUAAAUACUGAUACAGGGCUCUUUUGGGUCUUGUAAUUGGAAUGAGUACAAUUUAAAUCCCUUAACGAGGAACAAUUGGAGGGCAAGUCUGGUGCCAGCAGCCGCGGUAAUUCCAGCUCCAAUAGCGUAUAUUAAAGUUGUUGUGGUUAAAAAGCUCGUAGUUGAACCUUGGGCCUGGCUGGCCGGUCCGCCUCACCGCGUGUACUGGUCCGGCCGGGCCUUUCCCUCUGUGGAACCCCAUGCCCUUCACUGGGUGUGGCGGGGAAACAGGACUUUUACUUUGAAAAAAUUAGAGUGCUCCAGGCAGGCCUAUGCUCGAAUACAUUAGCAUGGAAUAAUGAAAUAGGACGUGCGGUUCUAUUUUGUUGGUUUCUAGGACCGCCGUAAUGAUUAAUAGGGACAGUCGGGGGCAUCAGUAUUCAAUUGUCAGAGGUGAAAUUCUUGGAUUUAUUGAAGACUAACUACUGCGAAAGCAUUUGCCAAGGAUGUUUUCAUUAAUCAGGAACGAAAGUUAGGGGAUCGAAGACGAUCAGAUACCGUCGUAGUCUUAACCAUAAACUAUGCCGACUAGGGAUCGGACGAUGUUAUUUUUUGACUCGUUCGGCACCUUACGAGAAAUCAAAGUGCUUG